UGAGAAGGACAAAGGUGAGUACCAUGUUAGGGUGGUGAAGCAGAUCCUGUGGGUCAAUGACAUGAGGUAUGAAUUGCAAGAGAUUUUUGGGAUUGGUAAUUCAGUUGAAAGUGACUUCGAUGGAAAUGAUCCCGGAAAAGAAUGUGUGAUUUGCCUCUCUGAACCUCGGGAUACCACUGUACUUCCAUGUCGGCACAUGUGUAUGUGUAGCGGAUGUGCAAAGGUUUUGAGGUUCCAGACGAAUCGCUGUCCCAUCUGUCGACAGCCAGUUGAACGCCUCCUGGAGAUCAAGGUCAGCGAAGGCGCAGCUGAAGAGUAAAAAUAGGAAGAGUUGCCAUAAUCCACUCUUGUAUAAAUAUCAGUAUUUCUCUUUCUUGACCUUUUGGUUUUCCUUCUCUAUCCAUCCCCCCUAGAGUAGAAUAAUCCAACAGCUGAAAGUCUCUUAGUUAUAGUUUGCCAGUCCUACAAAUGGAUCAUCGAGACAUGCUGUUGAGCUAAGCCCCCU
Molecule: unclassified non-coding RNA, 505 nt
Filed under: Hevea brasiliensis (rubber tree)
Lineage: Eukaryota; Viridiplantae; Streptophyta; Magnoliopsida; Malpighiales; Euphorbiaceae
Source: RNAcentral